UGGGGAAUUUUCCGCAAUGGGCGAAAGCCUGACGGAGCAAUACCGCGUGAGGGAGGAAGGCUCUUGGGUUGCAAACCUCAAAACUUAGGGAAGAAAAAAAUGACGGUACCUAAUGUAAGCAUCGGCUAACUCCGUGCCAGCAGCCGCGGUAAUACGGAGGAUGCAAGCGUUAUCCGGAAUCAUUGGGCGUAAAGAGUCCGUAGGUGGCACUUCAAGUCUGCUUUCAAAGACCGAAGCUCAACUUCGGAAAGGGAGUGGAAACUGAAGAGCUAGAGUAUAGUAGGGGUAGAGGGAAUUCCUAGUGUAGCGGUGAAAUGCGUAGAGAUUAGGAAGAACACCAGUGGCGAAGGCGCUCUACUGGGCAUAUACUGACACUGAGGGACGAAAGCUAGGGGAGCGAAAGGGAUUAGAUACCCCUGUAGU
Molecule: ribosomal RNA, 423 nt
Filed under: uncultured Chroococcales cyanobacterium
Lineage: Bacteria; Bacillati; Cyanobacteriota; Cyanophyceae; Chroococcales
Description: bacterial SSU rRNA
Rfam family: Bacterial small subunit ribosomal RNA
Source: RNAcentral